RNAcentral lists this ribosomal RNA (404 nucleotides) under uncultured bacterium. Its description in RNAcentral is "bacterial SSU rRNA". It matches the Rfam family "Bacterial small subunit ribosomal RNA", at positions 355 to 776 of the family's 1533-position model. The record is from RNAcentral.
UAGGGAAUCUUGGACAAUGGGCGAAAGCCUGAUCCAGCCAUGCCGCGUGAGUGAUGAAGGCCUUAGGGUUGUAAAGCUCUUUCGCCAGGGAAGAUAAUGACGGUACCUGGAUAAGAAGCCCCGGCUAACUUCGUGCCAGCAGCCGCGGUAAUACGAAGGGGGCUAGCGUUGUUCGGAAUUACUGGGCGUAAAGCGCACGUAGGCGGUUUUCCAAGUUGGAGGUGAAAUCCCUGGGCUCAACCCGGGAACUGCCUCCAAAACUGGAUGACUCGAGUCCGAGAGAGGUGAGUGGAAUUUCCAGUGUAGAGGUGAAAUUCGUAGAUAUUGGAAAGAACACCAGUGGCGAAGGCGGCUCACUGGCUCGGUACUGACGCUGAGGUGCGACAGCGUGGGGAGCAAACAGG